CCUACGGGAGGCAGCAGUGAGGAAUAUUGGUCAAUGGUCGGGAGACUGAACCAGCCAAGCCGCGUGAGGGAUGAAGGUACAGAGUAUCGUAAACCUCUUUUGUCAGGGAACAAAGGCGGGGACGUGUCCCUGGAUGCGUGUACCUGAAGAAAAAGCAUCGGCUAACUCCGUGCCAGCAGCCGCGGUAAUACGGAGGAUGCGAGCGUUAUCCGGAUUUAUUGGGUUUAAAGGGUGCGUAGGCGGUCUGUUAAGUCAGCGGUAAAAGCCCGGGGCUCAACCCCGGCCCGCCGUUGAAACUGGCAGUCUCGAGUUGGCGAGAAGUAUGCGGAAUGCGCGGUGUAGCGGUGAAAUGCAGAGAUAUCGCGCAGAACUCCGAUUGCGAAGGCAGCAUGCCGGCUCCACACUGACGCUGAGGCACGAAAGCGUGGGUAUCGAACAGGAUUAGAUACCCGAGUAGUC
RNAcentral lists this ribosomal RNA (459 nucleotides) under uncultured bacterium. RNAcentral's name for it is "partial 16S ribosomal RNA". It matches the Rfam family "Bacterial small subunit ribosomal RNA", at positions 338 to 795 of the family's 1533-position model. The record is from RNAcentral.